Molecule: ribosomal RNA, 462 nt
Filed under: Triticum aestivum (bread wheat)
Lineage: Eukaryota; Viridiplantae; Streptophyta; Magnoliopsida; Poales; Poaceae
Description: partial small subunit ribosomal RNA
Source: RNAcentral
AUGGGGUUAAGUCGCAGGGCAGCCGCAGCAGCCCGCGCGUGGGCCUGUCGCCCGAUCUCGCUCCUGUCCCGUGCGCGCGCACGGACCGCCUGCAUCCCCGCGCGCGCGUCCAUCCCUUGCACGUACACGGCUCCUUCUCCGGCCAGCGAGGCUCCAGCGGUCGACCGGGCGAGCUCCUGCUCCCCGAGCGUCGCGUCCGUCGGCCCGUCGGGUUGCUGCCGCGCCGUAAUGCGGGAAUCGUCGGUGGCGAUGGCCGGGCUGGGCCGAAGCUUUGGCAAUUAUUCCAUGGGCGUACGUAGUACGUUGCCCCGGCUCGCUCGGUGCGCGCUACUGUUGGGCGCCACUGUUGCACCUCGCCUCCUUCCGUUUUUUGGCACGCUUCGCUGGUGGUGCUACAGUGGGGCAGUACCGGCCGCGCUCAUAUGCAUUCAAACCAAAGGAGCUUUUUUACUAGGUAUAUAG